RNAcentral lists this ribosomal RNA (253 nucleotides) under uncultured bacterium. RNAcentral describes it as "partial 16S ribosomal RNA". It matches the Rfam family "Bacterial small subunit ribosomal RNA", at positions 524 to 776 of the family's 1533-position model. The record is from RNAcentral.
GACGAACCGUGCGAACGUUGUUCGGAUUCACUGGGCUUAAAGGGCGCGUAGGCGGGCAACCAAGUCAGGGGUGAAAUCUUUCGGCCCAACCGGAAAAGUGCCUUUGAUACUGGUUGUCUCGAGGGAGGUAGGGGCGUGUGGAACUUCCGGUGGAGCGGUGAAAUGCGUAGAUAUCGGAAGGAACGCCGGUGGCGAAAGCGACGCGCUGGACCUCUUCUGACGCUGAGGCGCGAAAGCUAGGGGAGCAAACGGG